This 1678-nucleotide long non-coding RNA is filed under the name Homo sapiens (human). RNAcentral describes it as "non-protein coding lnc-EDF1-2:1". Lineage: Eukaryota; Metazoa; Chordata; Mammalia; Primates; Hominidae. The record is from RNAcentral.
GAGCGCGCCGGGGCGUUGGUGCGGGGAGCUGGUGAGGUGCUGCGCUGUGGGGUCCGCGCUAAUUGGGUCCCUUCCCCAGGUGCGGCGAGACAGCGAGGCCCUUGCUUCCCCUCCCGUGGCCCCGGGGCGGAGACCCCUGCCGCACACCCGAGAGGUGAGCCGGGAGCCCAAGCCGGGCGACACCGGUUCCCACGAGGCGCGCGUCGCGCGCGGGACGCGGGGCCCUGGCGGGGCGGCCGCACCUACCCGACACCUGCGGGUCCCUCCGCCUCCCCCGGUGCCGGGCGCAGAGCGGCGCCUCAAUUUGGGUAACAUUUAUGAGAAACAGGACUAAAAGAAUACUGCACACUUAAGUAAGGUAUUAAGGCUAUGGGGUCUCCUUUUGGGGUGAGGUAAUGCUCUGCAACCGGACAGUGGUGACGGCCGCCCGACAUGGCCGGUGUGCUAAUCUACUGGGUUGUGCACUUUAUUUAUUUUUUUUUUUGAGACGGAGGCUCACUCUGUCGCCCAGGCUGGAGUUCAGUGGCGCGAUCUCGACUCACUGCAACCUCCGCCUCCCGGGUUCAAGCGAUUCUCCUGCCUCAGCCUCCCGAGUAGCUGGGACUACAGGCGCCCGCCAUCACGCCCGGCUAAUGUUUGUAUUUUUGAUAGAGACGAGGUUUCACCAUGUUGGCCAGGCUGGUCUUGAACUCCCGACCUCAAGUGAAAACACAACCUAUGGCCUCCAGACACUCAAAUGAAAACAGUGGCCUUGGCGGCCAAAACAGGGGCUGCCCUAGGAGUCCUGUGGGCUGCAUGGGGGAGGCGGCACUGUCAUCUGCCCAGGAGAACGGGAGCUGCAGCAGGUUCUCUCUGGCGGUGCACGGGCUAGCACUGGACACACCACCCCCUCUCCAUCCAGCCUUUGGUGAAAUGGAGACCUUUCACCCCGCUUUGCAGAGAAGGAAACGUUCACGGAGUUGGAAUUCCCCUCCGCCCCAAACCCACAUUCCUGGGACAGCAAGGCCUUGAGAUGGAACUCAGGAAGCCAUCGGAUUCCAUCAACGUCAUCACCCCUGAGUUUGCUGCAAGCAGCCAUGGAAACGUCCCAAGUCCGCACCUGCAGGCUCAGUGAGGUUGCUCAAGCCCAGGAACUAACUGAGCUCUCAAACGUAAGAAGGCGUCUCCUCCUGGCUGCACCUGGGAGGCUCAAAGCUGUCCUGAGUCUGCAGCAGCCAGCUCGGGAUGAGAAAGGGUUCACGUGGCAGUUCAUGCCUAUAAUCCCAGCACUUUGGGAGGCUGAGGCAGGAGGACCGCUUGAGCCCAUGAGUUCGAAACCAGCAUGGGCAGCAUGGGGGAACCCCAUCUCUACCAAAAAAAGGAAAAAAAAUUUAGCUGGGUGUGGUGCUGCACACCUGUAGUCCCAACUGCUUGGAAGGCUGAGGCAGGAAGAUGACUGAAGCUCAGGAGGUGGAGGUUGCAGUGAGCUGUGGUUGCACCACUGCACUCCAGGCUGCGCUAUAGAGUGAGACCCUGUCUCUUUUUUUUCUUUUUUGAGACGGUGUCUUGCUCUGUCACCCAGGCUGGAGUGCAGUGGUGCGAUCUCGGCUCACUGCAACCUCUGCCUCCCGGGUUCAAGAAAUUCUCCUGCCUAAGCCUCCGGAGUAGCUGGGACUACCGGCGCACACCGCUACGCCCG